GUCCGGCCAAGGAUGAGCAAGGAACAAAGAGCUUUUAGAACAUUAAGCAUACAUCUAAAUUUAUUUGACCUGAGGAUCCAGCCUGGCCUCUCAAGAGCAGACGCUCACAUGAUAAAACGUGCUGGGAACUCACCAUGUACUCAGCAAAGGGAAGCAAAGAGGGGGAAAAAAAGUUGGCUGAAUGGACCAGCAGGUGAGAUGAAGAGUUGAUUGUCUUCAAACGUAAAAUAUCUCAAGCAAGAAAAGAAGAAAAAAGUCUCUUCAAUAAAUGUUGGCAAUAUUUUCGA
RNAcentral lists this long non-coding RNA (287 nucleotides) under Homo sapiens (human). RNAcentral describes it as "novel transcript, antisense to AGAP1". Lineage: Eukaryota; Metazoa; Chordata; Mammalia; Primates; Hominidae. The record is from RNAcentral.